This 1275-nucleotide long non-coding RNA is filed under the name Bemisia tabaci. RNAcentral describes it as "lncRNA ENSSSA2NGG001642". The record is from RNAcentral. Lineage: Eukaryota; Metazoa; Arthropoda; Insecta; Hemiptera; Aleyrodidae.
AUCAGGUGCGGGGAGGGCGUCCUUGCGCGUCGCGACGCUCGUGCUUCGGCGCCCAGUGAGUCUCGCUGCCGCGUCGGCUUCAGUGGCUGUCCUUUCUCGGCAGAGCGUAAAUACGAUUACCGACUUAGCAUGUUUAUAAAUAACUCGCCGCGUGUUUGAUUCGAAACCAUGUGCUCGCGAAAGUUCGGUAAUUAAAACCCGUCCGAUCCUUUCUCGCAAAAGUUCGACAGUUCCUCGUUUUAAAUCGCAGCGUUUUUAUCAAUCGUCAGAAAUGAGUACUUUCGGCACUAAUAGCUCAGGGCGCAACCGUAACAGCGCAGGUCCCGAAGAACAGUUCCUGUUGACUGAGCGACAUCGCAAUGGCAUUAUUGCCCCUCAUUCUAGAGGCAGCACUCUCGGCAGGCGUGGUAAGUGUUCUACUUCCUCUAUCACUCGACAGUAUCCUGCCUCGAGAAUUCAGAUGAAUAUCCCGCUCCAUCACGUUUGCCUAGACGUAAGUCAAUGCUUUCAUACUAGUGCACGCCUGCGAAAACUACGAUUCAAUCGUCGAUUCAACCUAUCCAUUUGUUAGAUAUUGAUCUCAAUCGGAUGAAAGGAAUCUCAUUUUCUGCUGAAAGAAACUCGCCGUCUGUGUGGUUCCGUACAGCUCAGAAGCGAAAUAAUAUCGAUUUUUUUUUUCUUCUUUUUUUUUCGGUUUUUUCAAUGUCAAUACCAGGAAUGAUGUUUUAGAAAAUGUUUUCUCGUUUAUACGUAUUAAAAGUUAGCGUCACGAAAAAGAGAGAAACCGCCUUAACAACGCAAUGCACCACCGCAUGUUAUUCACGCGGCUCAAGUGUAGAUGCCACCACAAUUUUUAACUCCUAUAAAUAGAAAAUCUUAAGGUUUGAUCUGAAAUAGUCAAUUAUACAAAGCGUCCUAAUUUAAGUAUUUGAGUUUUUAAGUCUACGAAACUAAGAGGCAUGGGCGAUAUUUGAACAUUUAGGAACUAUAGGAUAAGUUUAAUUUUUAGAUGAAUGCGAUUGAAACAAACACUAAAUAACGGACGAUCAGAUCUUUGAAAGUUAAGAUAAAGUAAGGAAAUUCGGUUUUUAACUCUGAAAUUUAUAUUGUCGGUCAGGUCAUACUUCGUCGCUAUUCUGACGUAAGGGCGUAUCUCGAUUUCCAUAUGAGCCUUGAAAAGCAUUGAUUUAUAUCGAGAACAGGGCUCACGUGGAAAUCGAGGAGCGACGACUUAUGUGCUACAACUGCAGAGCUUAAAGGCGCCCGGCAAGUUUG